RNAcentral lists this long non-coding RNA (517 nucleotides) under Gossypium raimondii (Peruvian cotton). RNAcentral's name for it is "long non-coding RNA (GRAI_LNC004455)". Lineage: Eukaryota; Viridiplantae; Streptophyta; Magnoliopsida; Malvales; Malvaceae. The record is from RNAcentral.
UUUUUGCAGUAAGAGAGAGGUUAAUAAGAAAGUUCUCAAAGUUCCUGGAAUAGAGCAGAAGGUAAGACUACUCUAGAAAGUUAACGGUCCAUUUAAGUACUUAAAAGGUGAUUGUUGCAUAAUUGUAAGUAUUGAUGAUUGGUAGGCAAGGGGAUUUAAUAAACUAUCUAGAUACUAUUUUGAUCGAUAUCAUAUUUAAAAUAUGGCUCAUGGAUGAUGAUUGGUGUAUGGUUGUUCUGUGCUUUGAUAUACUAUAUUUAGCUAUAGCAUAAAUAUUUUCCCCAAAAAAAAAAGGUUGAUCCGAGCACUUUUCUCAUUACAGGUAACAUUUUUCCAACACUUCCACAUCGCAGUCGUCCCAGAUUUGAGCAUUACAGGUUAGUAUUGAUGUAGCAGGUUCUGUUGUUUCCCAAAUGAAUAUGGUUUUGUUUGUAUGUUUGUAAUGCUCAUUAAAGCUUUUGUUUGUAUGGUUAUGGUUAUUGUUGCAUGACCAUUGUUCUUUUUGAAUUUAUCAGCC